GGGUGUAGCUCAGCUGGUAGAGCGGCGGUCUCCAAAACCGUAGGUCCAGGGUUCGAUCCCUUGCG
This 65-nucleotide transfer RNA is filed under the name human gut metagenome. It matches the Rfam family "tRNA", at positions 6 to 65 of the family's 71-position model. From Rfam's summary of the family: Transfer RNA (tRNA) molecules are approximately 80 nucleotides in length. Their secondary structure includes four short double-helical elements and three loops (D, anti-codon, and T loops). The record is from RNAcentral.